This 319-nucleotide ribosomal RNA is filed under the name uncultured Pseudomonadota bacterium. Its description in RNAcentral is "bacterial SSU rRNA". It matches the Rfam family "Bacterial small subunit ribosomal RNA", at positions 30 to 351 of the family's 1533-position model. The record is from RNAcentral. Lineage: Bacteria; Pseudomonadati; Pseudomonadota.
AUUGAACGCUGGCGGUAUGCUUAACACAUGCAAGUCGAACGGUAACAGGCCUUCGGGUGCUGACGAGUGGCGGACGGGUGAGUAACGCGUAGGAAUCUGCCUCAUAGUGGGGGACAACGUGGGGAAACUCACGCUAAUACCGCAUACGCCCUACGGGGGAAAGCGGGGGAUCUUCGGACCUCGCGCUAUGAGAUGAGCCCAAGUCCGAUUAGCUAGUUGGCAGGGUAACGGCCUACCAAGGCGACGAUCGGUAGCUGGUCUGAGAGGACGAUCAGCCACACUGGGACUGAGACACGGCCCAGACACCUACGGGUGGCAG